This is a long non-coding RNA of Falco peregrinus (peregrine falcon), 1422 nucleotides long. RefSeq lists it as uncharacterized. The record is from RefSeq and is a predicted model, not a curated record. NCBI's taxonomy places the organism in Eukaryota, Metazoa, Chordata, Aves, Falconiformes, Falconidae. The transcript has 2 exons.
AGGCGAGCGCGGACGCCCGUCAGCGGGAAAGCGUCCGGCGACGCUUCCUAAAGCCGCGGGCUGUCAAGGAGGGCCGUGGUCUUGCGGAGCUGCGCCGCCGGGAAGGGCCGCCCGGGGCCGGCGGGAGGGGCGGGGGGAGCCGUGGCGGGGAGCCGUGGGCCGCGGACGCCGCCUGUCAGGUGUGUUGAGUCUUAGACCCCAACGUGCUGUUUGCAACAAGUGGAUCCCAGAGUCAGGAUAACCUGGUGGUGUUGGAUGCUGUGGCAGCUAAUCCUAAACCUAUCAGCCAGCCAAGUAAGAAACUAAGCCAGCUAUCUAGUGGAAGUGCCAGGAAAUAAAGAUAAUACAGUAGAGGUCUGAGAGCAGCUGUGAAAUUGAAGCCUCUGGGCUUUGCAGUCCUCCUCUGUGUUCUUCCCCAUAACAAACCAAACAGAACCCAAGCCCGAUCCGUGGACUGGGAAGCUCCUUAUCCUAGUCUUUUCCUCCUCAUCCAUAAGCUGCCUCUGUCAGUGCCAGUAUAUCGCAGAGGCUACCAGUAUUCAGUGGCUGAAGGGUGAGGGGGGAAAGAAUGACUGUGUGGAUGGACAGCCACGGGCCUAAGCUGGACUAAGUUGCAUUGGAGAGGGUGAAUAUUUGGGCUAUUAAAAAGGUCAGCCCUUUGCUUGUAAUGUGUUAGUCUUCAUUCCUUUGCCUUCUCUCAAGACAGAUUUACUUACCUGAGCUGCCAGAGGGCAUGCAAUUUCUACCCAUUUGGAGCUGUCCUGGAAGAGGCAGUGAUUUUCCUUCUUAAAGUGUUACACUGGAAUGUAAAAGACAGUUGUACUACUCGUACAGAUUUUCUGAGAAAUAUUGAUUUUUUUUUUCCCUGAAGCUACAAUUUGAAGAUUUGGUACGUUUGUCUAAGAUUUCUGUCCCAGUUUUGCAGCUGGUCUGCACAUCACAGGGUAAUUCCAACACACUUGAGGGAGACAUUACUGGUUUUUUAAGUGCAGAUCACCUGCUUAGGAUUUAGGAAAUGAAGCCAGGAUUUCCAGAACACAUCAGACGGAGAACACGCAGUCUGGAGCACACAUAUGCUUGGUUCUGACAUGGAAAAUACCAGACGGAAAUCUGGCAGCUGUAAAGUGGAUCAAACAAGGUAAUCUAAAGUUCCAGUGGCCCUGAGGAGAUCCUUGGUUUCUCAUACCAAGGGAAUGUCAAGUAGUCAGCUGUACUGAUUUUUAUUUCAAAAGUUGUCUUUAUUCUGUAUGUAUUGCCAAGAGUUAAUCUGUAAGCUACUCUGAUUUAUCUUCUGAAUACCAUGCAGCGUCCAGGCUAAUUCCUAAGACACAUUUUCGGUCAGGAUUUUAUUUUACUCAAACUGAGAUAGACGUUUUCUGUCCUGUGGAAUAAACACGAAAGGUCUGGUGGUUUGUUCAGUGA